RNAcentral lists this ribosomal RNA (468 nucleotides) under uncultured bacterium. RNAcentral's name for it is "partial 16S ribosomal RNA". It matches the Rfam family "Bacterial small subunit ribosomal RNA", at positions 28 to 507 of the family's 1533-position model. The record is from RNAcentral.
GACGAACGCUGGCGGCGUGCUUAACACAUGCAAGUCGAACGGAAAGGCCCUGAUUUUGUGGGGUGCUCGAGUGGCGAACGGGUGAGUAACACGUGAGUAACCUGCCCUUGACUGUGGGAUAACUUCAGGAAACUGGGGCGAAUACCGGAUAGGAGCUCCUGCUGCAUGGUGGUGGUUGGAGAGUUUCGGCGGUUGGGGAUGGACUCGCGGCUUAUCAGCUUGUUGGUGGGGUAGUGGCUUACCAAGGCUUUGACGGGUAGCCGGCCUGAGAGCGUGAACGGCCACAUUGGGACUGAGAUACGGCCCAGAAUCCUACGGGAGGCAGUAGUGGGGAAUAUUGCACAAUGGGCGGAAGCCUGAUGUAGAAACGUCGCGUGCGGGAUGACGGCCUUCGGGUUGUAAACCGCUUUCGACUGUGACGAAGAGUGAGUGACGGUAAUGGGUAAAGAAGCACCGGCUAACUACGUG